AUUUUUCAUUUGUCACCAAAAUUACUCCAGAGGCUUCUUCAAGAAUUCCCAGCCAAAAUCCCAUUAAAUUUGCAGCUAUAUCAGCAUACCCAAAGUUAUCUCCCACAAAGAAUUUUUUGUCCUUGAGCUCAUUAUCAAGAAUCUUUAGCAGCUCACCACAUUCCUCUUUAGCUUUGUCUGACUCCUCUCCUUUUCCAAAUAAAGCUUUCCCAAUUGUAGUUAUGCACUGCAAAAAACUCAAAUCUUGAAGUCCAAACUUUUUACCAAAUUAUCUGCAGAUUGGUAUGCAUUGUCUCAUUAAAGGUAAAAACCAAUCCACUUAUUUGUAAUUCGUCCACGCUUAACCGGUUGGAGUUGGACUAUAACUCAUUUAUUGGCUUGAUCAAACAGGUUGAAUUCGAAAUAGCCCAUCAAAAAUAUCAAGUUAAUCUGGGUCUAGCUUUUUUUGCUAAAACUUUCGAAAAAGUAUUCAAAGAGCCUUUUGCUAAAACAAUGUAUCCCCGCGUGUCAAAGUUAAGCAUACAAAAUAAAAAUUGAGAUUGAGAACUAUAUAAAUUUACUUGUAAUAACCGCCCAAUAUGCCCAAGCUAUAUAUUAUCUUGACAUGUUUUGACUAACCCAAAUUUGACGCAACAUGCACCUCUAAUGGCAUGACCAUGAAUUUCAAUAGAAAAAAGGCAAGAGCAAAGACAAAUAAUAUAAAGAUUGACAUAGCGAAAUGUUCAAAUAACAAUUAAAGAUGGAAUAUUUUGAAGAAAAAAAAAAGGACAAGUUAAAUGAAGCAUAAGCAAAUUCAACCUUACCUUAACAUCAAGAAAAUUAGCCCAGAAACGAGCUAAAGCUCGUUCAUAGGGAUCUUUAGGCAAGAUAGAAGGGCCUUCAAAAGUCUCGUCAAUGUAUUCAAGAAUGAUCAUAGACUCAGAAAUG
Molecule: long non-coding RNA, 927 nt
Filed under: Nicotiana tabacum (common tobacco)
Lineage: Eukaryota; Viridiplantae; Streptophyta; Magnoliopsida; Solanales; Solanaceae
Description: long non-coding RNA (NTAB_LNC008532)
Source: RNAcentral